UCUUUACUGCUUCAAAUUCUUGCAGGUCAUUGGCAGUUGCACUUCCAGUUUCCUCUACAUGAGCUGGUGAUUUAGUUGGCAGGGAAGGCAAUGAAGCAGCUGAUGGAUCUUCUUUUCGAACAACUAGAGGAUCUUCUUUUCGUACUGGUGGAGCAGCAAAAACUGGAACAGCUUGCCUAACACAAACUGGUGGGGCAAUUCGCAUGUGUGGAGCCCGAAUCACCUGAGGGGGUAGCCCAGAAGGUGGUGCAGAGAAAACAGGAACAGCAUUCCUUAUUGUCACUGGUGGUGCAAUCCCAUGAUAAGGUGUCCUAAACUGCCGGAUAGGAACAUAAGGAACUGCCCCUGCUGCAGGGAAUCUCUGGGGGCGGACUGCACGAACGUCCAGUGCUAGAGGCUGUGAUGGUGGCACUGGGUUCUCACUUGAUGUUGUUGACGUGGGUCUGCUUCGUGGCUGUGAUGAUGGCAUAGAACCAUCAUUUGCAGUUGGUGAUGGAGGUCUGUUUCGAGGAGGUGUCUUUUGGCAGAUUAAAGGGAGAAUUUUUGAUGUGGCAACAGGAGGCAGCUGAGGACUAAACAAUCUUGAAUUCUGAAUUGGAAAUUUCUUUGGGAAAGACAACGUGCCACUAGGGGAGUUUGCUAUUGCC
This 647-nucleotide long non-coding RNA is filed under the name Vitis vinifera (wine grape). RNAcentral's name for it is "long non-coding RNA (VVIN_LNC001700)". Lineage: Eukaryota; Viridiplantae; Streptophyta; Magnoliopsida; Vitales; Vitaceae. The record is from RNAcentral.